GGCCUGCCAUUAAACUCCAUCAGGUACUUGAUGAGUUCUAUUGUUUGGCUGGCAGUUUCCCUCUGAGCAUCUGCACUUUGCAAAUGAUCUCCUAUUUUCGCAGCAGUCUGUCCAACACUUGAAAUACGAGAGUCCAACCUUGCAAAGCUAUCAAACAAUCCAUCUACACCUUUUUCCAUCAGCAAGUGUUUUCCGGUGCUUAGAGUCUUGGGCAGAAACAUCUUUCCUCAGAUUGGAGAGCUUUCCAUCAAUCUGCUUUCGAAGAUCAAUUAACUCUUUACAAGAAUCUCUGAACAGAGACAAGAGAGCAUCUACUUCUGGAAAUAAAGGGGACAGCCCUUGUGUAAAUUUUGGUACCUCAGAGGGGGCUCUUACAUGCCCAUUUGCUAAGACAUCACUCCCACCAACGUUUCCAUGCCCUUCGGCUGAAUCUGCUUCAUCUUCUUGAAACGAUGGAAGGAAUUCCUUUACCAAGUUCCCAAAUAAUCCAUCAAAUGAAAAUUCACCCUUAAAAUCAUCUAUAUCCAAAAUCAGUGGAAGGGAGCCAGCUGAUGGAGAUUUCGAAUUUCCACUAUCACUCUUGAUACUUUCUUUCAUCUCUAUGCUGGUUCAAUGAGCAAGAAAAAAAAAGCGGAGACGA
Molecule: unclassified non-coding RNA, 640 nt
Filed under: Hevea brasiliensis (rubber tree)
Lineage: Eukaryota; Viridiplantae; Streptophyta; Magnoliopsida; Malpighiales; Euphorbiaceae
Source: RNAcentral